This 403-nucleotide ribosomal RNA is filed under the name Boophis picturatus. Its description in RNAcentral is "partial 16S ribosomal RNA". It matches the Rfam family "Bacterial large subunit ribosomal RNA", at positions 2028 to 2597 of the family's 2925-position model. The record is from RNAcentral. Lineage: Eukaryota; Metazoa; Chordata; Amphibia; Anura; Mantellidae.
UCCAAUCAGUGAAACUGAUCUUCCCGUGAAGAAGCGGGAAUAUACCUAUAAGACGAGAAGACCCCAUGGAGCUUUAAAUCCAACAGCACCUAUUACCCAUAUAUCUUUAUAUUUUUUUAGCAAAUGCUCGUUCGGUUUUAGGUUGGGGUGACCAUGGAGUAAAAAAUAACCUCCACGAAAAAAGGCAUAAAACCCUUAUCAAAGAGCCACAUCUCUAUGAAUUAGUAAACUAAUUUCUGAUGAUCCGAUAUUCGAUCAACGAACCAAGUUACCCUGGGGAUAACAGCGCAAUCCGCCUUAAGAGCCCCUAUCGACAGGCGGGUUUACGACCUCGAUGUUGGAUCAGGGUAUCCCAGUGGUGCAACAGCUACUAAAGGUUCGUUUGUUCAACGAUUAAAACCCU